AUCGCUUCUCGGCCUUUUGGCUAAGAUCAAGUGUAGUAUCUGUUCUUAUCAGUUUAAUAUCUGAUAUGUCCUUUAUUUAAGGACGAAGUAUUAAGCAAGUUUUUAGAACGAGGAAGUGGAAUGUGAGCUUGCUCUGUCCACUCCACGCAUCGUCCUGGUAUUGCAGUAUUUCCAGGAAAGGUGUACCCCCC
Molecule: small nuclear RNA, 191 nt
Organism: Prolemur simus (greater bamboo lemur)
Lineage: Eukaryota; Metazoa; Chordata; Mammalia; Primates; Lemuridae
Gene: U2
Rfam family: U2 spliceosomal RNA
About the family: U2 is a small nuclear RNA (snRNA) component of the spliceosome (involved in pre-mRNA splicing). Complementary binding between U2 snRNA (in an area lying towards the 5' end but 3' to hairpin I) and the branchpoint sequence (BPS) of the intron results the bulging out of an unpaired adenosine, on the BPS, which initiates a nucleophilic attack at the intronic 5' splice site, thus starting the first of two transesterification reactions that mediate splicing.
Source: Ensembl